Rhineura floridana is the source of this 2469-nucleotide long non-coding RNA. RefSeq lists it as uncharacterized. NCBI's taxonomy places the organism in Eukaryota, Metazoa, Chordata, Lepidosauria, Squamata, Rhineuridae. The record is from RefSeq and is a predicted model, not a curated record. The transcript has 3 exons.
GUGGACGACAUGGACGACGAGGGACAGAGUGGAACGCAGCGCGGUGAAACGGCAGCGGCUGUUCUGUUAAGGCCGCACGACGGAUAUGGGCAACAGGGAGAUAGGAGGCAAGAGGCCUUCAAAAGGGUUGCUGGACAGGGAUAGAGCAGAUGCACAUCCUAAUAUGCGGCCACAGCAUGGUCUUCCGGGCACCCUGGAGGGCAGCGAAUUCGAGCAUGGGCUCGCAGUUGGGCCUCAGUAGAGGGGCUGUUGUGCAGUGGCUGGACCGGCAAGAAAUGCAUGGGGAGUGGCUCCUACCCGCUCUGUUCCAGCAAGGUGUGGUGCAGAUAUUUCUGCAGGCAAUGGUCAUCCACCUCGGUGGUAAUGACCGCGCCGUGAAGCAGGGCAAGGCCCUCAGCGUACAGGCAUGUAAGGACAUGCAAGUGAUAAGGCAGCGUUGGCCUUUGGUGCGUCUGAUGUGGUCAGACAUGGCGCGGCAUAUGGGAUCCAGCUGGAAUUGAUCAUGCAUGGAAGAAGGUCAACCGGCAAAUUCGGUGGGCUCUUCUUGGGCAGGGGGGGUUGGCCAUUCCGCAUCCCCGCAUUCAGCACCGGAAGGGUGAACUGUACAGGGCCGAUGGCGUUCACCUGUCUCAUGCAGGUAACGACUUAUUUUGGGCGACCUGCAGGGGUGUCUGCGAGAGAUGUUUCUUGGCAGUGGGGUAAAGGGGGACUAAAUAGAGAUUUGUCCCCCUUUUGUGGCGGGAAGGUGAGGGAAGGGAAAUAGGUAAGGACAGCUAGGUGGCCCCCUUAGGCACCUUUGGAGGUGACUGGCGGUUCCAGAGGCCUGUCUCUCAGGGCUUUACGGCUCGAGGGCAGGAUAUGGGCUGCUUCUGGGGCCAACUUAUCCUCAUCUACCCAGGGGUUAUACGGCCCUGGGUGGGGAUGAUGUGGGAAGGCCCCCCUACUCACCUGCAGGGUGUGGCUGGGGUAAAGGGUAAGCAGAUGGGCUUGCCCUUGCCCCAGCAGGGGCUGGUCGCCCGAGAGCUGUAUGGCAAGCUACUUGCUUAUAGACAGUUCCCGCACCUAGGUUUCCCUCUGCAGGUCACUUUAAAUUGGGUUUUGUUUACUAUAAUUUAAAUAAAGUGGCCCUUGUUCAACCCAAGCUGACGUCUCUGUGUUUUAUUUCACCCCUCAACUGCAAAUCAGCUGUUUAUUUAGAUGUUUUAUCACCCUAGGAGCUCUCCAACAUCAGGAGGAGUUUUCUUUGCAAAGGGAUUCCAAAAGUCGUAAGAUCCCCAAUACUCCUCCAGCUAAUAUUUGAGAACUAAUUAGUAUGAAGUUAUGGCUACCAACUUCAGAAGGAUGACACUUGAUAACCUCUCCUGUAUUCUCUUCAAGAUGCUCUGAGCUUCUGGAUGGAAGAUCAAGACAUACAUUAAGAGCUGGCCAAAAGACAAGAGAUCGAUGUGAAAAGACAAUAAAAGUAAUUUUGUUAUGAAGACUUCCGGGCAGUAGUAAGAACAGCAUACCUUGUUCAGCCAUUCUGCUCUCUCUGUAUCUGGAAAGUGGACCUAACAAAAAGAAAAUUGUAAAUGAUUAGAUAAAAAAAUCUUUAAGAUCAUCGUGGAAAAUCUGGCAAUCUUUUAACUAUUAUCUUCAAGUGCUAGAACGGCAUUGUGUACCAGAUGCUGCCAGUGCAUGCUACCAUAAGCGCUUUGAACUUUUCAUUAUAACCAGCUCUAUAGCACUAGUCAUGGGUUCAUGCAUCCCCCCCACACAAAAGGGGGGGGGAAGCUUCACAUUGUUUGCAUUAAUCAUACAUUGCUAUAACAUCUAUAUAAGCAAACUACAAUUAGUAUCUCCCCUCCAAACCAAAUGAGAAACCAUAAUCUGAAGUGGAUUUCUGACUCUGGUUUGGAAGGCAAGCACAAACUGCAAUGUGCUAAUUCAGAUAUCAAUGAAAACUGUGGUUUGCUAAACUACCAAGUAAAGCUGUGCUUGAGAUGAGAGUAAGUGUGUGCAUGCCCAUCAUUUCUAGUAGUGAAGAUCAUGGUUUGACCAUCUGAAUUGAACCAUUUUAUUUUAAAAUGUUUGACAGAUAUUUGUUAUCAUGUCCCAUCGAAUCCAAUGCUCCUGACUUAACCACAGUUAAAACCAUGGCAGCUAUACAAACUGUACAUGGCAUAUACAUCAUGUACCAUCUCUCCUUCUCCUUGCAUGCAAAUUCCCAUCAACCUACCUACUGUGACCUUAAUAUGAUUAAAAGGUAUAUCAGCACUAGUCUUAACAGUGUCUUGCUAACCAACUGUGAUCCAUGGUUAGAAGAUCAGGAGCGUACAUCUGAACUGUUCUGUCCCCAUGACUAUUAAUAGCUUAUAUACAAAAAAACCCCAUCAACUUGCUGGCGUCCACUUUCUUCAAGCAAAGUUAGUUUUAUUUUUACUGCUUAUGCUGGCUCAUUGUGGUAUAAAAUGAAUGAUGGCUGGUCCA